RNAcentral lists this ribosomal RNA (407 nucleotides) under uncultured bacterium. Its description in RNAcentral is "partial 16S ribosomal RNA". It matches the Rfam family "Bacterial small subunit ribosomal RNA", at positions 30 to 526 of the family's 1533-position model. The record is from RNAcentral.
AUUGAACGCUAGCGGGAUGCCUUACACAUGCAAGUCGAACGGAGUGGCGAACGGGUGAGUAAUGUAUAGGAAUGUGCCCAGUAGCGGUGGAUAACUACGAGAAAGCGUAGCUAAGACCGCAUACGAUUGGAGCGGGCGAUAUCGGAUGAGCUAGUGGGUGGGGUAACGGCUUACCAAGGCGACGAUCCGUAGCUGGUUUGAGAGGAAGACCAGCCACACUGGGACUGAGACACGGCCCAGACUCCUACGGGCGGCAGCCGUGGGGAAUUUUGGACAAUGGGGUAAACCCUGCGCCAGCCAUCCCGCGGGUGCUAUGAAGGCCUUCGGGUUGUAACGCACUGUUGGCGGGAAAGCGGUACCUGCAGAAUAAGCACCGGCUAACUACGUGCCAGCAGCCGCGGUAAUAC